RNAcentral lists this ribosomal RNA (842 nucleotides) under Malmidea aff. flavopustulosa. RNAcentral describes it as "SSU rRNA". It matches the Rfam family "Bacterial small subunit ribosomal RNA", at positions 370 to 1234 of the family's 1533-position model. Lineage: Eukaryota; Fungi; Ascomycota; Lecanoromycetes; Lecanorales; Malmideaceae. The record is from RNAcentral.
AAUAGCCUAACGGCUGAACCAGCAACUUGGAGGAAUGAAUGGCGAAAGCUAAUUGUAUUUUAAUAGUGCAAUAUCGAUUUUAUCGAAUAAAGUUCUGGGUGGAAUAUAUGAUAAUGACAUUUUCUGCCUAUAUUUCUUGACCAAAAUACGUGCCAGCAGUCGCGGUAAUACGUUACAGAUAAGUGUUAUUCAUCUUUAUUGGGUUUAAAGGGUACCUAGACGGUAAACUAAGCCGGUUUAUACAAAAGGUACUAAUUUACUAGAGUUUAAUGUGAUGGGGCUAAUAUGUACUGCAGGUGUAGAAAUGAAAUUCUUUGAUACCCUCUCUCUACUGGGAGACCAUAUGGCACAGCCAGCGGCGAAAGCAUCUCUUUAUGUAUUAACUGACGUUGAGGGACGAAGGCUCUAUAUAACAAAAAGGAUUAGGUACCCAAGUAGUUGGAUGCAGAAAAUGAUGAGUGUCAUAGAUUAGAUAAAUAUUUACUCUAUAAAUGAUAGUGUAAGCACUCCACCUCAAGAGUAAUUUGGCAACAUUGGAACUGAAAUCAUUAGACCGUUUCUGAAACCAGUAGUGAAGUAUGUUGUUUAAUUUGAUAAUCCGCAAAAAACCUUACCACAGUUUGAAUAUUUAUUUUUCUAUCUAGAAAUGUAAAAACAAGCGUUGCAUGGUUGUCUUCAGUUAAUGUCGUCAGACUAUGGUUAGUGCCAUGAAAUUAACGAAAACCCUUAUUUUAUUUUUACAUAAAAUAGUUCCCCUUUAUAUGGGAGAAUGAUAACAGGGAUUCAGACAAGCCAUCAUGACCUUACACCUUAUAAAAUAAGGAAAAAACGAUACUGUUGGC